GGUAAUCUUCUGAAAACGCAUCGUGAUGGGGACUAGAUUAUUGGAAUUAUUAAUCUUCAACGAGGAAUUCCUAGUAAGCGCGAGUCAUCAGCUCGUGCUGAUUACGUCCCUGCCCUUUGUACACACCGUUCUCCGUCGCUCCUACCGAUUGAGUGAUCCG
RNAcentral lists this ribosomal RNA (160 nucleotides) under Hematodinium sp. RNAcentral's name for it is "partial small subunit ribosomal RNA". It matches the Rfam family "Eukaryotic small subunit ribosomal RNA", at positions 1545 to 1700 of the family's 1831-position model. Lineage: Eukaryota; Dinophyceae; Syndiniales; Syndiniaceae. The record is from RNAcentral.